AUUUUCAUUUUAGGAAUGAUUUCUCCUGUGCUUGCCAUCCCGCUUCCCAUCUCCACCCUACUCCAGAGCCAGGGCUUCUCAGGAGGAUUGUCCUCUUCAUCCCUCCCUGACAAGUUUGCAGUGGUCACCCUGGGAAGGUGCCGCGGGGAGGCUGCGACUCAACGCUGACCUGUGCGACCCCCUCUGCUGUAUCACCUGCAUUCAGGAAGCAAAGAGCAGCAUAAGCUGAGGUGCCUCAGGCCUGCACCCCUCAAUUUUCAGCCCCUGAUGAGUGCAAAUUAGCUCAGACCUUCCCAGGACAGGAGAAGGGCCCACACACAGCAGCAGGAUCAGGAUCAGAAGAGGCUUUCACACACAUCCAGCUCACCCGCGUCUUCCUUUGGGUGGCUUAGCUGGAGCCGAGGAUCUGAACAAGAUGCUCUGCACUUCAAACACUCCUUAGAUCUAAACCAUUAUUUAUUUGAAUGA
This is a long non-coding RNA of Pipra filicauda (Wire-tailed manakin), 468 nucleotides long. RefSeq lists it as uncharacterized. NCBI's taxonomy places the organism in Eukaryota, Metazoa, Chordata, Aves, Passeriformes, Pipridae. The transcript is spliced from 3 exons. The record is from RefSeq and is a predicted model, not a curated record.